UACGGAAGGCAGCAGGGGGAAUAUUGCACAAUGGGCGAAAGCCUGAUGCAGCUAUGCCGCGUGUAUGAAGAAGGCCUUAGGGUUGUAAAGUACUUUCAUCGGGGAGGAAAAACAAAACUAAUAAUUUUAUUUCUUGACGUUACCCGAAAAAGAAGCACCGGCUAACUCCGUGCCAGCAGCCGCGGUAAUACGGAGGGUGCUAGCGUUAAUCAGAAUUACUGGGCGUAAAGAGCACGUAGGUGGUUUUUUUAAGUCAGAUGUGAAAUCCCUGGGCUUUAACCUAGGAACUGCAUUUUGAAACUGAAAUACUAGAGUAUCGUAGAGGGAGGUAGAAUUCUAGGUGUAGCGGUGAAAUGCGUAGAUAUCUGGAGGAAUACCUGUGGCGAAAGCGGCCUCCUAAACGAAUACUGACACUGAGGGUGCGAAAGCGUGGGGAGCAAACAGGGAUUAGAUA
This 454-nucleotide ribosomal RNA is filed under the name uncultured bacterium. RNAcentral's name for it is "bacterial SSU rRNA". It matches the Rfam family "Bacterial small subunit ribosomal RNA", at positions 340 to 784 of the family's 1533-position model. The record is from RNAcentral.